UCUCUCUCUCUCUCUCUCUCUCUCUCUCUCUUUCUAACAUGUCAGAGCGAGAAAGAAAAAGAAAGAAAGAGAAAGAAAGAGAGGGGCACAAAAAACCUAGAAAUUUUGGCUUUGCCUUUCUUUCAACGCCAGAACCCAACAGCAAUCAUCAUGUCCUCCUCUUACCUUCUUUAUCGCCAUCAUUGCUUCCACACCACCCUCUGCUGCUGCUUCAUCACCUCCAAGUCCAACCACCCCACAAAACCCACACCCAAAGUGUCAUUAUUCUCAUUAAUAUCACCACCAAAGAAGAAGAAGAAAAAAAAGAAGCGACCCAACGAAAAGAAAAUUUUCUCAUCAUGAUUUUCAAGCGCCCAGCAGAAAGACAACCCUAGCUUAGCUUAGCUAUAGCUAAUAAGCUAGCUUUCUCGCUCUCCUUGGUUGCGAGUGAAGAAUCUCGAUCUCUCUCCUUAAUAAAGUUCAAAGAGUUAUUGCAAGUCUUUGCGCUUUGGGGGAAUCAAGCAUCUUGGUCCGACGACGAUUUGCUAGUGUUGAAUCAAAGCAAAUCUCAAAUUUUCAACUUCUUUUGGUUUGGCAACUUGUUCCUUAGAUUUAUGUCACGUGCACUUUAGAUCUUGUUAGCUAUAUAAAGGCUCUGUCUUUCCUGGUUUUGUUGUUAUAGGUUAUGUUAAGACUCAAGUCACUAUAUUUGGUAAGAAACUCUUUUGUUCUCCGAGUGUGUGUGUGUAUGAAUUAUCUUGUUUAAAUGAUCAGAACUAUUGUUUGUGUUGUACUUGUAACUGCUGAAGAAAUCGAUUCUAGAUUAUAUAUGUGAAGUACUGGUUCUACUUGAUUUUCCUUUUCCAGUUCAGAUCUACAGGAUCCGUGUUAGGGUUUCUACAAAGGGAUUUUCAUAUAUGUGAAUUAACAAAGAUCAAUCCAUUACCCUUUCACCAUAUAUACAUGUAACUUUGUAAUUUGAGGUCUAUAUAUAUAUAUAUAUAUAUAUUUGGACCGUAUUUUUAAUUGGUUAAUUAGCAUUCAGCUAGCUCAAAGUAUUUUCAAAAUGGAAGUGUGUAUAUAUAUAUAUAUAUAUAUAUAUUUGCUCUUAAUUUGUAGCAAAAAGAAACUAAUUUAAUUUAAUAUACGUGUUCAGCUUAGCAAAGCUAUGUCAUAAUUGUUCAUUUUGUCAGUGAGAUCUUUUUCCAGUGGGAUUCUGUGCAAAGUAUAUGUAUUGAGAUUGGGAAAAUAGAUAAUAAUUACUUGUGUUCUUCAGUCCACCUUUUGCAGCUGAGAGUUUUGCCAAAUUAUAUGUAUGAUGUUGGGUACAUUUUGUCUGUAUGAUGUUGGCUUCACCAUAUACGGAUGAUGGAGAUUGGAGUACAUUAUUCCCAUGACCCAUUGUGGGAGCUGAUUCGCUAGUUUGAG
This 1407-nucleotide long non-coding RNA is filed under the name Prunus persica (peach). RNAcentral's name for it is "long non-coding RNA (PPER_LNC003917)". The record is from RNAcentral. Lineage: Eukaryota; Viridiplantae; Streptophyta; Magnoliopsida; Rosales; Rosaceae.